RNAcentral lists this ribosomal RNA (549 nucleotides) under uncultured Glomus. Its description in RNAcentral is "SSU rRNA". It matches the Rfam family "Eukaryotic small subunit ribosomal RNA", at positions 548 to 1098 of the family's 1831-position model. The record is from RNAcentral. Lineage: Eukaryota; Fungi; Glomeromycota; Glomeromycetes; Glomerales; Glomeraceae.
UUGGAGGGCAAGUCUGGUGCCAGCAGCCGCGGUAAUUCCAGCUCCAAUAGCGUAUAUUAAAGUUGUUGCAGUUAAAAAGCUCGUAGUUGAAUUUCGGGGUUAGUAGGCUGGUCAUGCCUCUGGUAUGUACUGGUCUCACUGAUUCCUCCUUCCUGAUGAACCGUAAUGCCAUUAAUUUGGUGUUGCGGGGAAUUUGGACUGUUACUUUGAAAAAAUUAGAGUGUUUAAAGCAAGCUAACGCUUGAAUACAUUAGCAUGGAAUAAUGAAAUAGGACGUUCGAUCCUAUUUUGUUGGUUUCUAGGAUUGACGUAAUGAUUAAUAGGGAUAGUUGGGGGCAUUAGUAUUCAAUUGUCAGAGGUGAAAUUCUUGGAUUUAUUGAAGACUAACUACUGCGAAAGCAUUUGCCAAGGAUGUUUUCAUUAAUCAAGAACGAAAGUUAGGGGAUCGAAGACGACCAGAUACCGUCGUAGUCUUAACCAUAAACUAUGCCGACUAGGGAUCGGAUGAUGUUAAUUUUUUAAUGACUCAUUCGGCGCCUUACGGGAAAC